UCUCUUAUUACAGUUAUGAAAGUUUGAUAACAAGCAGGAAAUGUUCAUGGGCCAUUAUGACAACAUUGAAAUGGUUCGAGGACUGAAAAACAUCCACAAGAUUAAAUAUUUCUGAUAUUAGUCUGUAAGAUUUAUCCCUCGAGCAUACACUUUACAUAGCGUUACAUGUUCAAGUUUUGUUUUGUUUUCUGUUACAGUGUUUACGCAGAGCGUUCACACUGGAAAAUACCAAAAAGGAUAUGUGUAAUAUAUAUGUGUGGACACCUUGCACACUUAGUGGAGUGUACACUGUGCAGGGCUAAAUGAGCUACAAAAGAACCUUAAUAUAUAUAUAGUUCAUAAACUAGAGAGCAGUGCAUAGCGCAUUAUAACAUCGUCGUUUGGGAAACAACUUGAAUGUUUGAUUAGAGAAAACUAUUGCGUCGUCACAAUCUACUGAAGUUGUGGUUUAGGCAUUUUGCUGUUAUCAGUAUCUGUGGUCUGUGUUCUCUCUCUCUCUCUCUCUCUCUCUCUCUCUCUCUUUCUGCGUGUGUGGGACGGGCUGGUGCGGGAGCGCGCACUCUGCUCGAGCACGAGCGUCUUCAUCCGCACACCGGCCGUGUCAUGUCACGAGAGGAGAGAGAGAAUGCGCUGAUCCCCCAUCCACAAGCCGGACAGAGGACAUAUGUUCAUGAACCACAGCGAGAUGGAGAUGUCAGGGCCGAGUGUGAACCGCCGCAGUCGCACGGUGAAGAGGCGACGGUGGGGAGGACUGAGGCAGCAAUGGAAACUGCUGGGUCUGUUUGAGAUCGACCAAGAGCAUGAGUUUCACAGUCUCACCUGCAUGAUGAAGGAAGGGCUGCGUGCUGCUGUGCAGAACACCAUUGACAACCCUUUACCUGAUGAGCUGUGUGAGGAUGACUACAGUCUUGAGGUUACUCAAAUCCAUAAGGACUUCAGGAUGGAGACAUACGCGGGGCCGGUGUUUGCAAGUCUGCGUCGUUCUUUGGGAAUGACGGAGAAGGAGUAUCAGCAGUCGCUCUCCUCUGAAGGCUGUUACCUGCAAUUCAUCAGCAACUCUAAGAGCAAGGCAGAUUUCUUCCUAACCAAUGACAAGCGAUUCUUCUUAAAGACACAGAGCAAAAGAGAAGUGCGAUUUCUCUUGUCUAACCUGAGAAUCUACAUGGAGCAUCUGGAGAAAUACCCUCACUCUCUGCUCGUCAAGUUUUUAGGUGUUCACAGGAUCAAAAUAGCAAAUCAGAGGAAGAAGUACUUUAUUGUGAUGCAAAGUGUCUUUUACCCUGAUGACAGAAUCAUGGCAAGGUAUGAUAUAAAGGGCUGCGAGGUGAGCCGGUGGACGGAUCCAGCUCCUGAAGGCAGCCACAUCAUAGUGGUUUUGAAGGAUCUGAAUUUCGAAGGACAGUUCAUUCAUUUAGAUCAACAGCGUCCUUGGCUCCUGCGUCAAGUGGAGAUCGACACAGCUUUUCUUCAGACACUCAAUGUGUUGGACUACAGUCUCCUGCUGGCCCAUCAGCCCCUGCACCAGGAUGAGCUCAGCCAGAGUCUGUCCUUCGCAACACUCAUCAUGCGCACCAAAAAAUCCUUCCCUUUCUUCUCCAAACGGCCACUGGCAGGCAGGUCAGUGAAUCCAGUGUCCAGUCCCACACAUGCCGCUUCACCCACUGUACCAGGAGUGGUGGCAGAUGAAGACUCAUCACCCCUCCCCUCUGAAUUAAACUGUACACACAACAGUCACAUAACAGAAUGCAGUGGCAAUGAUGGAAUGGACAAUACAAGUCUUGAAGGAGAAAACAUUGAGGGACCCAGUAGAGCAGGAGCAGAAUCGGCUGACCUACAAGCGUUUCAGUCCCAGAACCGGAGGCUCCUUCCCAACUUCAAGAACCCGCUUCAUGUCAUUGAUGGACCAGAGCAGCGUUACUUCAUCGGCAUUAUUGACAUCUUCACUGUUUAUGGUUUUAGGAAGAGGCUUGAGCAUUUAUGGAAAAGACUGAGACACCCAAGUCAAACAUUCUCCACUGUCAGUCCUCCAGCUUACUGUCACCGGUUGUGCCACUGGGUUCAGGACCAUACCAAAUAAAAGAGGCGACAGAUCAUGUGCCAGAAGAUAUGCACCUGACCCAUACAUACCUCAUUAGGCAGUGGAAAGGACCUGAAUGUACUUUUGACGGUAAAUGUUUUUCUCUUUAAAGAGAUUGCUCACCCCAAAAUGAAGGUUCUGUCAUUGUUUAGUCCAGCUAAACACUAUAGAAUACACAAGACGUGCAACUUGUUUACUUUUGAAUGGUGAAAAAGGCAACAGUCACUUCAGAGAAGAAAGGCCUGCCUUCCAGUAGAUUAGCCAAUCAUCAAUCGGUAUAGACUGACGAUUCUUUAGAGCAGGGGCUUGGUCCAGAUGCCUGUUUUUUAAGACAGUUUCUGCAACUUAGCGAAUACUAAUAAUAUGUGAAAUAAAUGUUUCAAGCGCAAAUCACAUUCUAUCGGUUUUGGAGGAGAUUUGCUGUCAGGAAUCAGUUGGAAACUACCUUAGAAGACCAAUGUGAACCAAUCAGAGGAUGAAACUGUGUAACAUUAGUUAUUGAUUAUUGCAGAAGUUACAUAAUCUGAUUGACAGGAUGACAUCUGAAUUGUGUCCUCCAAAAAUAGCCAUAAAGAGAUUGUUGUUGUGAAUUUGUUUUCUUCAGGUGCGCAUACGCAUGGGGAACCUAAAAAACGGCAUCUUUUUUUUCAUGACUUGAGCAGUUAAAAACUAUAUUUCUAAGAGAGUUUUUGUUAAAGUUUAUUGGUUAUUCCAAAUAUAAAAGUUAAUCGCUUGCCAAUGGCAAAAUCUUUUGGAGAAUUUGAUGUUUCCCCAUUUAAAGAGGAAGAAGCUGGAUGCAUGGAAGCUUGCAUGCCUGAGAGGAAUUUAAAGAUGGUGGCUGAGUGAAAUGAUUUACCUUAAAAGGACUUUGUUUACACUCAUGUUGGACCAAGUGCAUUAGAAAUGUGUUCCUCUUGAGAACACACAUGUACAGUUGAAGUCAGAAUUAUUAGCCCUCUUGUGAAAUUUUAAUUUCUUAUUUUUGUUAAGACAGACAAAUUGGCUAAUUUUUCAUCAUUCCCACAAAUUCUGUUGAACGGAAAGAAGAUUUUUACAACACAUUUCUAAACAUAAUAGUCUUAAUUAGUAUUCAGCUUAAAUUGACUUUUAAAGACUUAACUAGGUUAAUAAGGAGCUAAUAAUAUUGACCCUAAAAUGGUUUCAAAAAAAUUUAAAACUUUUUAUUCUAGCCAAAGAAAAACACAACUUUCAGUAAAAAAGAUACUAUUGUAAAUAAUAUGGAAAUGUCCUUGAUCCAUUAAAUAUAACUUGAGAGCUUAUUUUUUAAAUUAUAUAUUAUUUUGCUAAUCUCAGAAAUCUAAUUUUGCUAAUAAUUUUGAUAAUUACUGAGAUUCAUUUAUUUAAAUAUGAGAGGCUUUCAUAAUUUCUUUGAAAGUUUGUUCAACAAAAGCACUUUAAAACAUUGAUGAUGAGAUCCAAAAGAACAAAUUCUUCUGAAGAGACAUCAUUGCUUUAUAUCACAGGAACUGGAUUUAACACCUGUGCUUUAUAUUAUAAACUGGUUUCAUUUAGGCUUUUUACAUGAACAAUGUUUAGUGAGCUUCUGAUAUGUUCAUUAGGUCUGUUAGUCAUAAGGCUGUUCUCUUCAGGAGACUUGGAUUAAAACACUUCUUUCAUCCGGCUUUAUGGAGAAACAGAAAUAUCACAAAUUUUGUUAAUAUCUUGUCAUUUUUGUUCUGAAAAUCUUGUGAAUUUUGGAAUGACGUGAAAAUAAACUAUGACAGAAUUUUAAUUUUGGGUUGAACUAAAGCUUUAAGUUGACCUUCUUGAAGUCUGCUUUUGAGCUUUUUGUUUACAGAUAAUGCUGAGUAUUUGCUGUAACAUGGCACUUCAAGAAAAAACAGUUAAAUGUUGUAUUUAAAAUUAUUAUGAAAAAGUGCAGAGACCAUUGCAUUAUGCCAAAGAUGCAUAAGAAUGAAGCAGAAAAAUGAGUAUUGGAUUUAAGUCUUAUUUUGAAAUAAUGAUUGAAUUAUGUGAUACCGAUUACACAUAUCCCAUUCACCCAAGAGUUACCAUUUGAUAAGCAGUCAAAGUAAAUUAUACCAAGAUAUCAGACUUGCAACUUUGCAAAAGCAGCAGCUUCUGUAUCUCUUAAUUUUGUUGAGCAUUGGUUAUGUGAAGCUUCAUAAGUGGUCAUUCAUGUGAGCAUGUUUUGUUUUCAGGUAUUUAUGCAGUAUAAUAAUAAAAUAAUGUUUAAGCUUUUAA
Molecule: non-coding RNA, 4303 nt
Organism: Danio rerio (zebrafish)
Lineage: Eukaryota; Metazoa; Chordata; Actinopteri; Cypriniformes; Danionidae
Source: RefSeq, a predicted model, not a curated record